This 232-nucleotide ribosomal RNA is filed under the name uncultured bacterium. RNAcentral describes it as "partial 16S ribosomal RNA". It matches the Rfam family "Bacterial small subunit ribosomal RNA", at positions 118 to 348 of the family's 1533-position model. The record is from RNAcentral.
UGAGGAACAUGACCUUCGGCGGGGGAUAGCCGGCCCAACGGCCGGGUAAUACCGCGUACGACCACAUGGGGACAUCCCUGAGUGGUGAAAGCAGCAAUGCGCCGAUGGAGUGCCUCGCGGCCUAUCAGCUAGUUGGUGGGGUAAUGGCUCACCAAGGCAACGACGGGUAGCUGGUCUGAGAGGAUGGCCAGUCACAUUGGGACUGAGACACGGCCCAGACCUNUACCGGGAG